This 482-nucleotide ribosomal RNA is filed under the name uncultured bacterium. Its description in RNAcentral is "partial 16S ribosomal RNA". It matches the Rfam family "Bacterial small subunit ribosomal RNA", at positions 30 to 507 of the family's 1533-position model. The record is from RNAcentral.
AUUGAACGCUGGCGGCAUGCCUUACACAUGCAAGUCGAACGGUAACAGGUCUUCGGACCCUGACGAGUGGCGAACGGGUGAGUAAUGCAUCGGAACGUGCCCAGUCGUGGGGGAUAACUGCUCGAAAGAGCAGCUAAUACCGCAUACGACCUGAGGGUGAAAGCGGGGGACCGUAAGGCCUCGCGCGAUUGGAGCGGCCGAUGUCAGAUUAGCUAGUUGGUGGGGUAAAGGCCUACCAAGGCAACGAUCUGUAGUUGGUCUGAGAGGACGACCAGCCACACUGGGACUGAGACACGGCCCAGACUCCUACGGGAGGCAGCAGUGGGGAAUUUUGGACAAUGGGCGCAAGCCUGAUCCAGCAAUGCCGCGUGCAGGAAGAAGGCCUUCGGGUUGUAAACUGCUUUUGUCAGGGAAGAAAUCUUCUGGGCUAAUACCCCGGGAGGAUGACGGUACCUGAAGAAUAAGCACCGGCUAACUACGUG